This 74-nucleotide transfer RNA is filed under the name Marmota monax (woodchuck). Its description in RNAcentral is "tRNA.Val". It matches the Rfam family "tRNA". Rfam says of the family: Transfer RNA (tRNA) molecules are approximately 80 nucleotides in length. Their secondary structure includes four short double-helical elements and three loops (D, anti-codon, and T loops). Lineage: Eukaryota; Metazoa; Chordata; Mammalia; Rodentia; Sciuridae. The record is from RNAcentral.
UGAGGAUGUAGCUCAGUUAGUAGAGUACUUGCCUCACAUGCACAAGGCCCUGGGUUCAAUCCCCAGCACCACAA